RNAcentral lists this ribosomal RNA (960 nucleotides) under uncultured Actinomyces sp. RNAcentral describes it as "bacterial SSU rRNA". It matches the Rfam family "Bacterial small subunit ribosomal RNA", at positions 331 to 1275 of the family's 1533-position model. Lineage: Bacteria; Bacillati; Actinomycetota; Actinomycetes; Actinomycetales; Actinomycetaceae. The record is from RNAcentral.
CCAGACUCCUACGGGAGGCAGGAGUCGAGAGGCUUCGGCAAUGGGGGAAACCCUGACCGAGCGACGCCACGUGGGUGAUGAAGAUCCUCGGAUCGUAAGACCCUGUCAGGUGGGAGGAAAUACCAUUCGGUUAACACCCGAAUGGCUUGACAGGACCACCAAAGGAAGCUCCGGCCAAGUCAGGGCCAGCAGCCGGGGUAAGACGGGGGGAGCAAGCGUGGUUCGGAUUCAUUGGGGGUAAAGAGCUCGUAGGCCGCUCUGUAAGUCGGAAGUGAAGGACCACGGGUCAACCGUGGAAACGCUUUCGAAACUGCGGAGCUUGAGGCCGGGAGAGGAGAUCGGAAUUCCUGGCGUAGCGGUGAAAUGGGUAGAUAUCAGGAGGAACACCCGUGGCGAAGGCGGAUCUCUGGACCGGUUGUGACGCUGAGGAGCGAAAGCUAGGGGAGCAAACAGGAUUAGAUACCCGGGUAACCCUAGCUGUAAACGAUGGGCACUAGGUGUGGGGGGAUCGACCCCUUCCGUGCCGCAAUUAACGCAUUAAGUGCCCCGCCUGGGAAGUACGACCGCAAGGUUGAAACUCAAAGGAAUUGACGGGGGCCCGCACAAGCGGUGGAGCAUGUGGAUUAAUUCGAUGAUACGCGAAGAACCUUACCGGGGCUUGACAUGCAUCAGAACAUUUGUGGAAACACGGAUGGGCCCUCACGGGACUGUUGCACAGGUGCUGCAUGGCUGUCAUCAACUCGUGUCGUGAGAUGUUGGGUUAAGUCCCGCAACGAGCGCAACCCUUGUCGUUUAGUUGACAAAAGGUCAAGCUGGGCACUCUAGAGAGACUGCCGGUGAUAAACCGGAAGGAAGGUGGGGAUGACGUCAAGUCAUCAUGGCCCUUACGUCCCGGGCUAAACACGUGCUACAAUGGCCGGCACAAAGGGCUGCGAAACUCGCGAAAAGUGAGCGAAUCCA